AACUGGGGUUAAUUCCCGAUGGGUGAGGAGGCCUGGAAUGGUUCUUCACUGAAAGGGCGCUAGAGGCAUGCUCUCUAACGUUGCCCAAGGAUGGGGCCGCGGCCGAUCAGGUUGUUGGUGAGGUAACGGCUUACCAAGCCUAUAACCGGUACGGGCCGUGAGAGCGGAAGCCCGGAGAUGGGCACUGAGAUAAGGGCCCAGGCCCUACGGGGCGCAGCAGUUGCGAAAACUCCGCAAUGCACGAAAGUGUGACGGGGCUACCCCGAGUGCCGUCCGCUGAGGAUGGCUUUUCUCCGCUGUAAGGAGGCGGAGGAAUAAGGAGAGGGCAAGACUGGUGUCAGCCGCCGCGGUAAUACCAGCUCCCCGAGUGGUAGGGGUGAUUAUUGGGCUUAAAGCGUCCGUAGCCGGCCUGGCAAGUCUUCCGUUAAAUCCAGCAACCUAAUUGUUGGGCUGCGGGGGAUACUGUUAGGCUUGGGGGCGGGAGAGGCCGACGGUAUUCUCGGGGUAGGGGUGAAAUCUUAUAAUCCCGAGAGGACCACCAGUGGCGAAGGCUGUCGGCUAGCACGCGCCUGACGGUGAGGGACGAAAGCUGGGGGAGCGAACCGGAUUAGAUACCCGGGUAGUCCCUGCUGUAAACGAUGCGAGCUAGGUGUUGGGGCGGCUACGAGCCGCUUCAGUGCCGCAGCGAAGGCGUUAAGCUCGCCGCCUGGGGAGUACGGCCGCAAGGCUGAAACUUAAAGGAAUUGGCGGGGGAGCACCACAAGGCGUGAAGCUUGCGGUUCAAUUGGAGUCAACGCCGGGAACCUUACCGGGGGCGACAGCAGGAUGAAGGCCAGGUUGAUGGUCUUGCUGGACGAGCUGAGAGGAGGCGCAUGGCCGUCGUCAGUUCGUGCCGUGAGGUGUCCUCUUAAGUGAGGUAACGAUCGAGACCCGCACCCCUUGUUGCUAACAGACUCCAUCGGGGUCUGUGCACACUAGGGGGACCGCCGUCGAUAAGACGGAGGAAGGAGCGGGCCACGGCAGGUCAGUAUGCCCCGAAUCCCCCGGGCCACACGCGAGCUGCAAUGGCAGGGACAAUGGGUGUCGACUCCGAAAGGAGGAGGUAAUCUCUAAACCCUGCCUCAGUUGGGAUCGAGGGCUGAAACCCGUCCUCGUGAAUAUGGAAUGCCUAGUAAUCGCGCGUCAUCAUCGCGCGGUGAAUACGUCCCCGCUCCUUGCACACACCGCCCGUCGUUCCAUCCGAGUGGGGUUUGGGUGAGGCGUAGUCCUUGGUGGCUGCGUCGAACUCAGGUUCCGCAAGGAGGG
RNAcentral lists this ribosomal RNA (1305 nucleotides) under uncultured archaeon. RNAcentral's name for it is "16S ribosomal RNA". It matches the Rfam family "Archaeal small subunit ribosomal RNA", at positions 138 to 1427 of the family's 1478-position model. The record is from RNAcentral.